RNAcentral lists this ribosomal RNA (301 nucleotides) under uncultured bacterium. RNAcentral describes it as "partial 16S ribosomal RNA". It matches the Rfam family "Bacterial small subunit ribosomal RNA", at positions 509 to 807 of the family's 1533-position model. The record is from RNAcentral.
CAGUCGCCGCGGUAAUACAGAGGGUGCAAGCGUUAAUCGGAAUUACUGGGCGUAAAGCGCGCGUAGGUGGUUUGUUAAGUUGGAUGUGAAAUCCCCGGGCUCAACCUGGGAACUGCAUCCAAAACUGGCAAGCUAGAGUAUGGUAGAGGGUGGUGGAAUUUCCUGUGUAGCGGUGAAAUGCGUAGAUAUAGGAAGGAACACCAGUGGCGAAGGCGACCACCUGGACUGAUACUGACACUGAGGUGCGAAAGCGUGGGGAGCAAACAGGAUUAGAGACCCGCGUAGUCCCUGUCUCUUAUAC